UGCAGUUGGCGGUCGGGCUAGACAAGAGAGGCGCCUGCGCCUGCGCCCGCGCCUGCGAGCUGGGCUUGUGAGUGGGGCUGCCCAGCCGGCAGGCGUGGGGCGAGGCCAAAGGACUGAACCCGCAGGAGCGUCACAGGCGCCGGGGCGGCUGCCGACGGCGGGCCUGGGUCAGUGAGAAGCCCGUGGACCCCCGCCCUGCCUGCUACUCCCAUCCUCCCCUGCUGCGCGCUCCACGGGGAACGACCUCCGAUUGGGUCCAAUGCCUACCCUCGGGGUGGAGCCGGCAGGAGUUAAGAAGUUUCCAUUAUUUUGCUCCAAACCAGAAGACUCUGUUGCCUGUAUAUAGAAUAGGAGUAAUGUUUGAAAACAACUGGCUGGUGUUUAAGACUGAAGAUUGUCGUGAUUGUUUAUCCUAAUCCCAAUGCUGAAGUAAGAUUGUCUUGGAAAUACUAAGUUGGGAUAAU
This 464-nucleotide long non-coding RNA is filed under the name Theropithecus gelada (gelada). RNAcentral describes it as "lncRNA (ENSTGEG00000016545.1)". Lineage: Eukaryota; Metazoa; Chordata; Mammalia; Primates; Cercopithecidae. The record is from RNAcentral.